GGCCGCAUGGCGCAACGGUAGCGCGUCAGAUUCCAGUGUUAAAUUGGAGAGUCCUGAAGGCUUCCUGUUCGAAUCAGGAUGUGGUCA
This is a non-coding RNA of Aaosphaeria arxii CBS 175.79, 87 nucleotides long. The record is from the annotation of a RefSeq genome assembly. NCBI's taxonomy places the organism in Eukaryota, Fungi, Ascomycota, Dothideomycetes, Pleosporales.